CUUAAAUAUGUAUUUGAUCCUUGCAAUUAGGGGUCGUUUAAAAAUUGGUCCCUGUAUUCGCUAAUCCUUGCAAACUAGUCUUGCAAUCAUUAAUCAUUUAAAAUUUCGUCCCUGAGCCCAGUUAAUUACUGCCACGUCACUGAUUAGCUGACGUGGCACAAAAUAUGGCUUGAAAGGACAAAAAUACCCCUGAGACUAUCAGACAAACAGGAAAUUACGAAAUUGCCCCUUCAAUCAUUCAUCUUCCUCCUCCUCCAACCUUCCUCCUUCGAAGUUUUAUUCUACUCCUCCAACAUUCGGCUCCAUAAAAACUAUUGCAGAUAUGGAAAGUAUGACUUUUGUUCAUUUUGAUGAUUUUAGAGAGAAUGGAAAGUAUGAUUUUUGUUCCUGCAUUCAUAAACAAACCAAUUUCAUACAUAGCCUUAAACCAUUUCCCAGAUUAUGAAUUAUGUGGUAUAGUGCCAACUUAGUCGCACCUCUG
This 481-nucleotide long non-coding RNA is filed under the name Medicago truncatula (barrel medic). RNAcentral's name for it is "long non-coding RNA (MTRU_LNC006207)". The record is from RNAcentral. Lineage: Eukaryota; Viridiplantae; Streptophyta; Magnoliopsida; Fabales; Fabaceae.